UACGUAGGAUGCAAGCGUUGUCCGGAGUUAUUGGGCGUAAAGCGCAUGUAGGCGGUUUGUUAAGUGUGGUGUGAAACCUCCGGGCUUAACCCGGAGUGGUCGCUGCAAACUGGCAGACUGGAGGGCUGGAGAGGAAGACGGAAUUCCCGGUGUAGUGGUGAAAUGCGUAGAUAUCGGGAGGAACACCAGUGGCGAAGGCGGGUCUCUGGACAGUUCCUGACGCUGAGGCACGAAGGUCAGGGGAGCAAACGGG
Molecule: ribosomal RNA, 253 nt
Filed under: uncultured bacterium
Lineage: Bacteria
Description: partial 16S ribosomal RNA
Rfam family: Bacterial small subunit ribosomal RNA
Source: RNAcentral